AGAGUUUGAUCCUGGCUCAGAUUGAACGCUGGCGGCAUGCUUUACACAUGCAAGUCGAACGGCAGCACGGGGGCAACCCUGGUGGCGAGUGGCGAACGGGUGAGUAAUAUAUCGGAACAUAUCCGGAAGUGGGGGAUAACGUACCGAAAGGUACGCUAAUACCGCAUAUGCCCUGAGGGGGAAAGGGGGGGAUCGCAAGACCUCUCGCUUUCGGAGUGGCCGAUAUCGGAUUAGCUAGUUGGUGAGGUAAAGGCUCACCAAGGCGACGAUCCGUAGCUGGUCUGAGAGGACGACCAGCCACACUGGAACUGAGACACGGUCCAGACUCCUACGGGAGGCAGCAGUGGGGAAUUUUGGACAAUGGGCGAAAGCCUGAUCCAGCCAUGCCGCGUGAGUGAAGAAGGCCUUC
Molecule: ribosomal RNA, 409 nt
Filed under: uncultured bacterium
Lineage: Bacteria
Description: bacterial SSU rRNA
Rfam family: Bacterial small subunit ribosomal RNA
Source: RNAcentral